AAAGCAGCACAGUGGCAAUAUCGUAGCCAAUGAGGUCUACCGUGGUGUGAUUAUUGCUAAUUGAAAACUUUUCCCACUACCCCGCCAUGACGACUUGAAAUAUAGUCAGCAUUGGCAAUUUUUGACGGUCUCCACAGAGA
Echinops telfairi (small Madagascar hedgehog) is the source of this 140-nucleotide small nuclear RNA. RefSeq annotates it as U4 spliceosomal RNA. The record is from RefSeq and is a predicted model, not a curated record. NCBI's taxonomy places the organism in Eukaryota, Metazoa, Chordata, Mammalia, Afrosoricida, Tenrecidae. The transcript has a single exon.